CGGAGGAGGUGAAGGCAUCGGAAAGGCUGCCUUAGUUCAGCAGGGGACGCAGAAUCACCCUUGGCUGCAUUACAGAGCUUGCUUAACAAAAUGUUGGGCCUAAAGGGGGCCAUAAACAGGGCAACCAUGUACUGUAUCUAUCUGGCUAUCCCUCAUGUAAAGAUCAGAUCUGCUGAUGUACUAUAUACUUGCAGCAACAGAUCAUUUGCAGAUAACAUUUUUAAAACAUGCCCAAUCUACAAACUGAACUGUUUCUAUAGUAUUUGGAUAUAGAUAGGGAUAAUGUAUUACCAGCUUAUUACCAAUAUGCUUCAGGCAUCUUUUAAUGUGGGGCCCCAACAAGUGUACAAGUACUGGGAACUAGAAAGAAAGUUUUCCUGCACCAUAACACAGUUAAUCUAGAAUCCUGGUAUAAAUCAAGUAAACCAAGACCACUGGUAAAUGUCCUCCUCUGCCUCAGAUCAGAACAGCAGUGGACCAAUCACCUCUCUCUCCAUCUGUCAUUUAUGAGUAUACUACCGCAUGACAAAUGCCCUAUUGAACACCUGAAAGGCAGCAACAAGCAGACCUGACAAAUUGGAAGUGUUUUGUCAACAAGAUAUUUUCAUCCCUUAUCCAAGUACUGCAUGACAAAUGAUAUUACAAACAGGGGGAUAGCUAGAAGUCACUGGACUCCAGAGAAAUUUCUUUUUACACUCCCAAAACUUCAAGGUGGUGAUAUAUUUGUAAGAAUAUAUUGAAACUAUACAUCUGUCAGUACUAAAUCGUACUCCUGGCCAUCCUAUCAGCCACAAAAAGUCUUGAGCGUAUCAGAUUUUUAAUGCAUUUUAUUUUUACUUUAUCAGCCACAGUUGUUAUAGAAUAUUUCACAUGAUGUAAAAUAAACAUCAGUUAGUUAAUCUUAACCCCCAUAUAUAGAUGACAAAUUCUUAACAGUAUUACUAAUAAAGUAAUCAUAGAAUGAUCAUAAAACUCAGGGCUUCUACAAUCUCUAUAUAUCUGUGUUUGUACUAUAAAAUUGACAUGUAAUGAGAGCACCCCCUUUUUAAUGAUAAAAUUGUCUGAGAACAAAAUAAAAGGAGCGCUCGGUCAGGCUCAGCUUCACGCACAGCAGUGCUUGGAUAGUGAUGUCACAAGGCAAUAUUGCGAAUGUCAUGACAUGGUUCUGAGUCCUCCCUGAAACAAGAUCCAUGCAAAAUGUGCUAUAAACUGACUCUUGGACAUGUCCUUGCCUGCUUUGUGCUUCUAGCAAACUUUUGAUUGAGAAUUUGAUUUCUGAA
This is a long non-coding RNA of Xenopus tropicalis (tropical clawed frog), 1280 nucleotides long. RefSeq lists it as uncharacterized. The transcript is spliced from 2 exons. Lineage: Eukaryota; Metazoa; Chordata; Amphibia; Anura; Pipidae. The record is from RefSeq and is a predicted model, not a curated record.